RNAcentral lists this ribosomal RNA (253 nucleotides) under uncultured bacterium. RNAcentral's name for it is "partial 16S ribosomal RNA". It matches the Rfam family "Bacterial small subunit ribosomal RNA", at positions 524 to 776 of the family's 1533-position model. The record is from RNAcentral.
UACGAAGGGGGCUAGCGUUGCUCGGAAUCACUGGGCGUAAAGCGCACGUAGGCGGCUUCUUAAGUCAGGGGUGAAAUCCUGGAGCUCAACUCCAGAACUGCCCUUGAUACUGAGGAGCUUGAGUCCGGGAGAGGGGAGUGGAACUGCGAGUGUAGAGGUGAAAUUCGUAGAUAUUCGCAAGAACACCAGUGGCGAAGGCGGCUCACUGGCCCGGUACUGACGCUGAGGUGCGAAAGCGUGGGGAGCAAACAGG